CGACCGGCGCACGGGUGAGUAACGCGUAUGCAACCUACCUAUCAGAGGGGAAUAACCCGGCGAAAGUCGGACUAAUACCGCAUAAAACAGGGGCACCGCAUGGUGAUAUUGUUAAAGAGAUUCGCUGAUAGAUGGGCAUGCGUUCCAUUAGGUAGUGGUGAGGUAACGGCUCACCAAGCCGACGAUGGAUAGGGGAACUGAGAGGUUGGUCCCCCACACUGGUACUGAGACACGGACCAGACUCCUACGGGAGGCAGCAGUGAGGAAUAUUGGUCAAUGGGCGGGAGCCUGAACCAGCCAAGUCGCGUGAAGGGAAAAGAAGGAUCUAUGGUUCGUAAACUUCUUUUGCAGGGGAAUAAAGUGCAGGACGUGUCCUGUUUUGUAUGUACCCUGAGAAUAAGGAUCGGCUAACUCCGUGCCAGCAGCAGC
RNAcentral lists this ribosomal RNA (429 nucleotides) under uncultured bacterium. RNAcentral's name for it is "bacterial SSU rRNA". It matches the Rfam family "Bacterial small subunit ribosomal RNA", at positions 92 to 518 of the family's 1533-position model. The record is from RNAcentral.